AAUUAAAAUUUUCAUCUAUUUUUACCGUUAAAAACUGACAUGACUGAUGAAAUAAUCAGGAAGUUGUUACACGUGGAGUGUCACACGUACGUCAAGUCAACAUACAAGGGCCAAUUUUUAAUAGAAUAAGAUGAAAUUUUUAACU
Non-coding RNA from Gossypium arboreum, 145 nucleotides. NCBI's taxonomy places the organism in Eukaryota, Viridiplantae, Streptophyta, Magnoliopsida, Malvales, Malvaceae. The record is from Rfam.